Molecule: long non-coding RNA, 1107 nt
Filed under: Ursus maritimus (polar bear)
Lineage: Eukaryota; Metazoa; Chordata; Mammalia; Carnivora; Ursidae
Description: lncRNA (ENSUMAG00000015179.1)
Source: RNAcentral
AUCAUUCUCAUAAAAACCCCUAGACUUACAAACUCCAAGGGCAACCCUGUUGGGUCCCCUCCCUCUUCGGGAGCUUUGUACUAUCGCUCAGUAAACUUUGCUUUGCUGCCCACCAUUCUUCAUCUGGUUUACCUCUUCAUUCUUCACAGCCGUGUGACCGAGAACCACAGGCACUAAAGGAAAAGAAAUCCUGAAACAUACGGUUGUUUAGAAAGCCUCUGAUGUUAUUUCUGUGGUGCCCUGGCCCCCAUCAAUGCCCACCUCCCCUUGCUGUUCUGCUGGUCUUCCGCUCCUGCCCGAGCCAGUUCCGGGGCCUGAGUGAGCUGCAGAUGUGGGAGAAAACGCAGCCCCUCAAGCAUUCUUUUGAUUGUGGUGGUCAGCACAUCCUCAAUCAUCCUGUUUCACAAGAAGACACAAAAGCUGCUUUGCAUAAAGGAAGACUUGUUGCUUUCUGUCUUGGAGAGCACAGCAUGGGAGCACAAGAUAACUGACAGAGAAGCACUCCGGGGCAGGGCCGCCUGCUUCUGAAGCAUCUUUAUACUGCUAUGGCCUCACUUACCGUCUGUGACAUGAUCGAUGCUCGCAGGAUGGAUGCCUGUUACCAAGUGAAUGAAGAUCCUGAGUGCUGGUAUCCGAGUUUCCAGAAAUCUUCUGAGUGGUGCUACCUGAAAUGGAACAGCUCGGGGGCUGUUUUGUGGGACACUCAAGUGGGACUUAUGUGCUACAGGGAUCCCCCCACUUUUCAAAACUCUGAGUUAGGCCGCUUCGCUUUUAAGAAAGACCCCUGGAAGGACCUGUUUUCACUAGCUGAAAGAAAUCCAAGGACGAUUUUCACCUUUACGAAAGAAGGAAAUACAUCUUUGGUUCUUUUUGGACCAGUCUGCCUCUUGUUCACAAACUAUUAAAUAGGAUGCAGAGAGCCCAAGAAGAGAGUGAAGACAAGACUCAGCAUCAGCUCAACAGCAAGACGUCUAUCUAGUGCCUGUCAUUCCCCCACCUGUACUGUUCGCCCAUCCAUCUGUCCAUCCAUCCAUCCAUCCAUCCAUCCAACAUUCAGUAAGUAUUUCCUAUGCACAAGGCACCAAUGAGAACCAAAUCUUGCCCUCG